CACUGUGGGGCCUGUUGGCGAGCCCCGCGGCGGCCCCGGGCGGGGAGGGCUGAGCUCCGUGCGGGGCCGAGCGGCGGCCCCGGGCCCCUGCGCGCUGCCGCCUGCGUGCCCGCGCUGCCCGGGCCUGCCGGAGGCCACGCAGGCCGCUGGCGUUUCCUCGCCGCUGCCCGCUGUUGCGGAUUGUUUAAUAGGGGCCGAGCCGCUCUCUGCGCGCCUCCGGAAUAGAUAGUAGUCUAUGAAGGGGACAGCUCUUGAAGAGGUAACAGCUUUGUAUAGAGUCCUGGUCUGGGAUGAGAAGCUUUGGUAGUGCUGUGGUAUAUGGAAGGCCUAACAGUGAUACAGAACACCACUGUACCAAGCCCUCUUUAGGUACUGGAAGGCUUCAGCAAGGUGUCCGUGGGGCCUUCUCUUCUGCAGUCUGGACAACCCCAACUCUCUCAGCCUGUCUUCACAGCAGAGGUGUUGCAGCCCUCUGAUAAUUUCUGUGGCCUCCUCUGGACCCACUCCAACAGCUCCAUGUCCUUCCUGUGCUGAGGACUCCAGAGCUGGAGGCAGCCUGCAUGGGGGUGUCACCAGAGUAGAGUAGAAGGGCGGAAUCACCUCCCUCAACCUGCUUUGGAUGCACACCAGGAUAUGAUUGGCUUUCUGAGCUGCAAGGCCAUACUGUUGGCUGGACUCGUGUCCAGCUUUUAUCCACUAGUAUCCCCAAGUCAUUCUCUGUUGGACUGCUGUCAAUCCCUUCAUCCCCCAGCCUGUAUUAGUAGCAGGGGUUCCUUGUUUCAUGAUUAAGAGUUUCUGUAAGCAAAUUACAAAUACACAUAUUGUUGCAGGUAGGAAAGCCAAACACCUCUUGAUAGUAAUAGAUGAGAGUCAGAAAGGCUAGGGGCCAAGGCUGGAGGUAAAGUAAGCUGGUCUUGUUAUUUUAUGAAAGGAAAGCUUGAUUUCUGCUGAAACCUAAAGGUCAUUUUCUGUCUCCUGCCUUAUUCAGAAGGGCAGUAAGGUUUUUAGUUAGAGUUUUUGUCAUCAUGUGUUGUGUCAAUUUGACUAACAUGUAUAAAUGUUACUGCUUCAAAAUUCACAUAAGUAAUAACAUACAAGUAUUUAAACAUUUAAUAUUCCUUUAAUCUUGAUUCUGCCCUGCCAGCCAUUUAUGGACCUUCUAGGAUGUUAUGGGUUGAUGUGGAGCCUUUUCUGGUAAUGGGGAAUGAGCUGUAUUGGGCCACCCGUGGGCUUCUGUAACAAGCUGUUCAAAACUUUCCCUGGCUCUGAGUCAGACUCACCUCUGGGGCUGAGCCAGUUGAGUGCCUCCCACUUUUUAAGAAGAAGCUGGAAGACAACAGUUGUUCUGGGAAGUGGUGGAAGGAGUUGGAGGAGAGAGAAGUGACCGUGUGGAGACUUGUGCUGGAGCAGAGACAUCCCUGCAUCCUGUGGAGAGAUGGCAGCUGUUUCCCUGCAACCAGUGAAUGGUAAUGGUGAAGCUGAGAUUUAUUGGCAAUUUGUGGAGAACCCCAAGUCAGGAGUGACUGUGCCUGGAGGCAGCUGUGACUCUGUGGCAAUGCAGCGUUGGAGCAGAAGGUGCCUGGAUUUGUGCUGCCGUGGAGAUCUGUGCAGGAGGAGUUUGUGAGGAGCUGCAGCCCUUGGGAAGGAUUCACACUGGAGAGAUUUGUUAAGGACUGUAUCCCAUGGGAGGGAUGCUGUGUUGGAGCAGGGGAAGAAUGUGAGGAGUUCUCUUCCCCGAGAAGAAGGAAGAUCAUCUGUCAGGGACUGACCGCAACCCCAGUUCCCUGUCCCCCUGUGCUGCUGAGGUGGAAGGGGUAGAGAUAUCAGGAGCAGGGAGCUGAGACUGGGAAGAAGAGAGGGACAAAGGAAGUGCUGAUUGUAUUUUUCUCAUCAUCUUGCACUGUUUUUGCUGUCUGUCUGCUCUGUUUCUAGUUGGUAGUAGAAUAAUAGUUCUUAUUUUCCUCUCUAAGUUGAGUAAUCAAGUCUGUUUUUCCUGGAGCCAUAACUGGCAGUGAGCCCUUCCUGUCCUUGUCUCAAUCCACAAGGCCCUUGGUUAUCUUUUCCCUCUCCAUCUCGCUGGGGCCUCUGCCAUCCUACAGCAAGCGACUGUGUGGUGCUUUGUUCACAACUGGGCUUAAACCAUGACAUAGGAAUACACUUGCAAAUAGACUCGGGACUAUUAAACCUUGUGGUUGUAAUAAGAAGCUUUGAAUCAAGGGAGGAGAAAAGGGACAUUUUAAAGUCAUUUUUCUGAUGUUCUAUUUGUAGUGAUUUUUUUGUAUUGGCUAAGUAUUAAUUGUUCCCAAGUUGAAUUCCUCUGUUCAGUUCUCCACAACUUAACUCUUCAAAGCAUUGUUAGCAUAUGAGUUUUUUACUAGUUUAUUCCCUUUCAGGAAGCCAUUCAAAACAAUGAACUAACACUUGUGAGCACCUUUUCCAAACAAAUAAAACAAAUAAAUGCAAGAUGAUCAGGGGACUGGAGCACCUUUGUUGUGAGG
Colius striatus (speckled mousebird) is the source of this 2498-nucleotide long non-coding RNA. RefSeq lists it as uncharacterized. The transcript has 3 exons. The record is from RefSeq and is a predicted model, not a curated record. NCBI's taxonomy places the organism in Eukaryota, Metazoa, Chordata, Aves, Coliiformes, Coliidae.